Molecule: ribosomal RNA, 475 nt
Filed under: Veillonella sp. oral taxon 780
Lineage: Bacteria; Bacillati; Bacillota; Negativicutes; Veillonellales; Veillonellaceae
Description: bacterial SSU rRNA
Rfam family: Bacterial small subunit ribosomal RNA
Source: RNAcentral
GACGAACGCUGGCGGCGUGCUUAACACAUGCAAGUCGAACGGACAGACAGAGAGCUUGCUCUCUUGAAGUUAGUGGCGAACGGGUGAGUAACGCGUAAUCAACCUGCCCUUCAGAGGGGGAUAACAACGGGAAACCGUUGCUAAUACCGCGUACGAUUCACAGGCGGCAUCGCUUGUGAAUGAAAGGUGGCCUCUAUAUAUAAGCUAUCGCUGAAGGAGGGGAUUGCGUCUGAUUAGCUAGUUGGAGGGGUAACGGCCCACCAAGGCAAUGAUCAGUAGCCGGUCUGAGAGGAUGAACGGCCACAUUGGGACUGAGACACGGCCCAAACUCCUACGGGAGGCAGCAGUGGGGAAUCUUCCGCAAUGGACGAAAGUCUGACGGAGCAACGCCGCGUGAGUGAUGAAGGUCUUCGGAUUGUAAAGCUCUGUUAAUCGGGACGAAAGAGUUCUGUGUGAAUAAUGCAGAAAAGUGACG